RNAcentral lists this ribosomal RNA (568 nucleotides) under Alcaligenes faecalis. RNAcentral describes it as "bacterial SSU rRNA". It matches the Rfam family "Bacterial small subunit ribosomal RNA", at positions 878 to 1447 of the family's 1533-position model. The record is from RNAcentral. Lineage: Bacteria; Pseudomonadati; Pseudomonadota; Betaproteobacteria; Burkholderiales; Alcaligenaceae.
GAGUGAGUUCGCUAGAAUGAAACUAAAACGAAUUGACGGGCACCCGCACACGCGGUGGAGCGUGUAGUUUAAUUAGUAGCAACGAGAGGAACCUUCCCAACUCACCACAGCCCUGUCAGGGAUCCGGAAGAGGACUUUUCCUUCGGGACAGAGAACCCAGACACAGCAUGGGCAUGGUCAUCGUGAGUUCGUGUAUUGAGGUGUUGGUCCCAGUCCGAGCGCAACCCCAACCCUUGGUAGCCAGCAGUUCGCCUGGGCACUCUAAUGAGACUGCCGGGGACAACCCGGAGGAAGGUGGGGAUGACGUCAAGUCAUCAUGCCCCUUAUGGUUAGGGCUACACACGUCAUACAAUGGUCGGUACAAAGGGAAGCCAACCCGCGAGGGGGAGCCAAUCUCAAAAACCCGAUCGCAGUCCGGAUCGCAGUCUGCAACUCGACUACGUGAAGUCGGAAUCGCUAGUAAUCGCGGAUCAGAAUGUCGCGGUGAAUACGUUCCCGGGUCUUGUACACACCGCCCGUCACACCAUGGGAGUGGAUACGACCAGAAGUUCAGGUGAGCCCUAACGUA